CAAAGCUAGCACUACGUAUUCUGUUUUAUCAAGUAAGGUUGUUUCAGAGUCACAGAUACUAUCUAGUGUGACCCCAUGUUGAGAACAAUUCAAGUGAUGAAUUUGUUGUUUAGAAAGCAAAACAGGAAUCAGCCAGCUGAGGCAGCAUUGUGCUUCACUAAUAUUAGCAGAAAUAUAAUUAAAAGUUUCUUGACCACAUGUAAAAACCAUCCUUGAGGUAGCCAAACAUGGGCAAAGUGAAAGAAAGUCUCUUCAAAAGCUGUGCAGUUCAAAGUAGGUGAGCAAAUGCGAUGACAGUGAGGUUUUUUAUUUGAAAAUCUACAAUUAACUACUUUUUCACAAGUUAUAUUUACAGGGACUGCUACCAUUGAGGUGUGUAAAGCAAUUGCAUAAAAGUGUGGAUCAUAAGC
Pseudonaja textilis is the source of this 410-nucleotide non-coding RNA. Lineage: Eukaryota; Metazoa; Chordata; Lepidosauria; Squamata; Elapidae. The record is from RefSeq and is a predicted model, not a curated record.